Long non-coding RNA from Choloepus didactylus (southern two-toed sloth), 4898 nucleotides. RefSeq lists it as uncharacterized. The transcript has 3 exons. NCBI's taxonomy places the organism in Eukaryota, Metazoa, Chordata, Mammalia, Pilosa, Megalonychidae. The record is from RefSeq and is a predicted model, not a curated record.
CCGCCAUGGCUCGCGUGAGAGCGGCGAGGCGCCUGGCUCUCUGUCCUCCCGUGCUGGGAGUGGAGGCUGAAAUGUUCUCCUUCAAGAAAUGGACCGCGGUGGGCCUUGUGGAGCUGGGAUGUGGCGUGCCAUAUGUAGCAGGGUCCAGGUGAUGGAUGACUGUUUUAGAUGCCAAGCUGAAAACAAGAGGAUUGUGUUGCGGUCCGGGGAGAAUGUAAUCUUUUAUUCCACAAUUGCUGCAUGUCCCUGUGGAUGAAACAGAAUAAUCUCUGCCCUCUCUGUCAGCAGGACUGGGUGGUCCAAAGAAUAGGCAAAUGAGAAUGUUGGAAGGCUUUUUUAGCGCAGUUGUUCGCAGCCUUGGUCGAUCUUAUCAAGUGCCCUACAAAGGCUCGAACGCUCUCUUUUAAUGUUAUUUAAUCUAUUUGAUUAAUUCUUCAAAUAGGAGGAGGUGGGCCCGAGGCCCUUUGGCACUCAUCAAAGGCAUGGUUUAAGCUUUUUGUCAGUUUUAUUUUUGGAAAUUCUCUACAAGGAAGAAGAUAAUUUAUUAAAGUUUGGUCUUUCCUACCUCUGUGGUUUGACACACAGACACACACACCGCUCUGAAGUGCUGUAAAAGAGGAGAGAACUACAGAUCAAGUGACCUUUAUGAUUUACCUAUUGAUAGCCAAGGGGCUGAGGAAGUAUUUCCAGUCAGAGAACUUUUUCUGCUUAUGGUUGAUUAGUUUAAAAAGAGAGAAUGUUAUAGUAACGAAUAAAGUACAGUUUAAAAGCCCCAAAAUAAAUAAACAAAUUACCUUAAUUUGGGGGAUUAUAACUUAUACUGUUCAAAAUCAUUUGCAUCUCUACAAGAUGCAAAUGAGUAAAAGAGUAAAUCAAGUAACAGUGCAUUCCCCUAGAGAAUAAUCUUUGGGUGGGCCAGUUAGAUAAAGCCCUUUAAAUAAAGCUUCAGUCCAACAGGGAAAAGACAAGCAGUCGUCCUUUUUAAAAGCCUUGUUUCCAAGGCUAAAUUUAGGUAAUUUUUCUUAACAAUAGUCAAGCAUUGCAUACAUACCACCCACCUUAACAGACACAAACCUAAUCUGGUAAGAGCUGGUGGAAUAAAUAACCAUGAAUGAAUUUAUAGAGAGACUGCAGAAAUAAAAGAUAGGGAUUUAAACCAAGUCCAGUUUUCUACUUUAGCGACACUAGUGAAUCGGUAAAAAGCUAAAAUUGUGAUGUUGCUACAAACCUACAGAUUUUUCAGAUGUUUCAUUACUCACAAAGUGCUUUUUCCUUAGAAUCAUAAUCUAUAUAGAUUUAACUAGGCUAAAUAGUUCCAUUACUAAAAUAGAUUAAUGUGGUUAAAUGAAACCAUAAGGGCAUGUGAUGAUUGUUUUUCAGUCAUUAUAGGUUAUUAGCAUGCUACGGCCCAUGAAAUGUAUGCUGGCAUAUUGGACUACUGAAGUGACGCCACUAUUUCAUCAGUAAGGCAUAUUCAGAGUUGGCUUAACUUCAAGGAAUUUAGCACAGUUCACAUAUAAACCACUCUCCGACUGAUAGGAGUUUCCAAAACAGAUCAGAUUUUGCUUUUUAUUAAUGUCAUAACAGCUCAUUUGUAAUACCAUCCUCCCUAUUCAGGUGGUUUUUGAAAAGUGUCCUUUUGGUGAGAGAGAAAUAAAAGAAAACGAAUAUCAUAAUAGAACAAAGCCUGCUCUGAGUAGCAGUCUCCCCAAGGAUUUCAUUUUCUGAGUAGAGAGCAAGAUCAUUUGAUUAAAAAGCUCAGAUUUUCUGAAGCUUUCUAUUGAAUGUGUGUAACAUGAGCACAUUUCCAUAUUAAGGUUAUUCAGCUGUAGAAAACACAAGAUCUCACUCAAAACUUUUCCUUUAAAAGUUAAAUAAAAUCCAAGACACUGCAUAUUGGUGCAGUAAAGGACAAAUCUAAGGUGUUGCUCCCUAACUGCUUGGCUGUGUUUUUUUUUUUUUUUUUCCUGCAAGAAAGCAAAGACAUUUAGUGAAAGCAUUGUAACUCAAAAGCAUCACAAAAGCUAAGAAAUUUAAGUAACCAUGUCACAGAAAUAUGGGAGCAUAGAUUCUGUUGGCUAAUCCAAAUAAGAUAGUUAAUCAUGUUCCUGACAAUGUGGAAUGUAGAUUCGCCGGCUAUUUGUAGACUUGAGCAGGCAGACUGAGAGCUUCCUUAAAUACUGGAAUCUAGAGUGGCUUGAGGAGCUGUGAGUCAGUAAUUCCUGGAUCUACAGAUUUCUUGAACCAGUAAAAUUUCAACAAAAUGUUGAAGACCAACAUGGUGUUAACAACUUCUUAUUUUGCCAAAUAAUACUAUUGGGAGGAAAUCUGACUAUUUAUAAUUGUCAUUUCGUAAAAGAAAUGGCUUCCCAGAUCCUUUUUUUUGAGGCUAGUGCAUAAUUUGAUUCACCAGUGGAUUUGGCCUCAAGGUAUCUUUAGGUAACUUAACUUCUUUCUCAAACCUUUCAUCUGUGACUAACAGGCACACUGAAGUACCUGCCAUGACUGAUCAAAAUGAACACUAGCCCUGGGAUGGAUGAAUGUGACAGGACUAGACUUUGGCUCCAGAUAGGGGAUUGGUUCUUGAGAGUUUUUCUUUAGAAUCAUCUUGUUUUAAGGAGGAUUUUUUUUUCCAAAUGAUGAGAUAUUAGGAUACAUAGGAUCUUUGAAGAUCCUAUUCACAAAUGAGUCUACACCUUAACUAAUAAUAGCAUCUUCAAAGGUCGUAUUAACAAAUGGGUCCACACCUACAGAAGCGUGGAUUAAGACUUGAACAUGUCUUUAUGGAGGACAUGAUUCAAUCCUCAACACUGGAUUUUAGCGCCAUAGAUUCUGAAUGAGCUCUGAGAUGGUAGCCCUGGAAUCUCAGUUUUUAACAAGCAUAACAUGAUUUUGAUGCAGAUGGUCCAUGGAUCCCAUCUUGAGAAACAUUGUUCUAUAAGAUAUUAAAAAGUAACAUUUCUAAUAUCGUUAAUGACACAUUGGAUAAGUCAGAUCAACCUUUCUGCUAAACAUAAUGUAUUACACAUCUUCUUAAAAUCAUCAAAGAGCUAAAUAGUGAUUUAUUACAGGGUUGAAAUCCAGCAGAGAAUGGAAAUCGGGGGGGGGGGCGGUGAACCUGGAACCCUGGCCAUUUUUGUCUCGGGGUCAUUAGCCAAUCCUGAAGAGACAACUGAGGUCACGAGCUGUUUUCUUGACAACCUCCUGGGUGUAGAGGGACAAAAGUCAAAGAUCAGGACCUGCCAAGGGUGAAAACCCUUGUAAACCAUUCCCCCACCCCAUGCAUACACACACCCUAGGAAUAAGGGUGAACUGGAAGUGGCUUAGUUAAAAAAUCUGGAGUCUUGAACUUGGAAAGAGUCUUGAUCCUGGAAAAAUCAGAUGUAAAUCCUCUGUAGCGGCAGAUAACUUCAAAUUAUUUCUGCAAAUAAUUUUUCAUAUAUAAUGUCUGUGAUGGUUAAGUUCAUGUGUCAACUUGGCUAGGUUGUGGUACUCAGUUGUUUGGUCAAGCCAGUACUUGCCUGAUUGUUACUGUGAGAGUAUUUCAUGGAUUUAAAUCAUUAGUCAGUUGAUUGCAUCUGUGACUGAUUACUUCUGUACUCAGCAAAGAAGAUUGCCUUGUCAAUGAGAGAAGUCUCAUCCAAUCAAUUGAAAACCUUAAAAGGGAACUGAUGAUUUCAGCUGUCAGAAAGAAGAAUUUCUAUCUCUAUUUCAGCCAGCCAGCUUCUUCUUGGGAAUUCAUCAAAACCUUUGUCAGAGUUGCCAACUUGUGACCUGCCCUACAGAAUUUGGUUUGCCAAUCACUGCAGUCACAUGACCCAAUUCCUAUAAUAAAUCUCUUAAUUGGUUCUGUUUCUCUGGAGAACCCUCACUAAUACAAUGUCCAAAACACAAUCAUAGAUAACCAAGCCUAACAGGAGACAGAAAACCAAGAGCAAGAACCACCAAAAUAAAGAAACAGCAAAAGCAUACUCAAAGGAACUCCGGACAUUGGGUGAAUCUAAAGGAACGCUGACUAUGGGAAACAAUUAAUAUAAUGUCCUGUGGGAAUAGUCACUGAGCCCCACUGAGUGUGAGUUCAUCAUGUGACUUCCCAGCAGGAUACUACAUUUCCCUGAAGGCAUGCCACAGUGCCUUCAAGAGGUGGAACCGAUACUUUGACCAAGAGAAUACAAGUGAUGCAUGUUCUGGGCCUUGCCUUUAAGAGGACUGGCACUUUCUGCCUCCUGAUUCUUGGAGCCCCGAGCCAUCAUGAGAGAUCCAGGCUGCCCUGGCGGAGAGAAAAGCCGUGAGAGGGAGCAUAUUACGUUUUGGAAGUCCAGCCCAGUUGAGCCUUCAGAUCAUUGCAGCCCCAGCCACCGUCCGACUACACCACUUGGGAGACCCUAAUCAAGAACUGCUGAGCUGAGCCCAGUGGAUCCACAGAAUAGUGAGCGAUAAUACUUAAAUUUUUAUUGACAUAAUUUCAGACCUACAGCAAACUUGUAAGAAUAGGAGAAUGAAUUCCCAGAAACCCAGAAUCCCCAUAUGUUAAUACUAUACUAUAUUUGCUUGAUUCUUCUCUCUCACUCUCUAGUCUACCAUCUAUCUGUCUGCCUGUCUGUCUAUCUCUCUCUCUCUCUCUAGUUUUUUCUGAACUGAUUAAGAGGAAAUUGCAGUAUUGUCCUUUACCCUUUAAUGUUUCAGUUUAUAUUUCCUAAAAACAAGACAUUCUCUUACAUAAUCAUGGUAUAAUUAUCAACAUUAGUAAACUAAUGUGGCAGGCUGAAUUAUAUACCCCCAAAAAACAUGUUUCUAAUCUUAAUCUGCAACCUUGUGGGUGUGAAGCCAUUGUAAAUAAGACCUUUUGAAGAUACUAUUUUUAGUGAAGAUUUGGCCACCUGAAUCAGGGUGGGUCU